CAAUUGGAUCUACCACGGUUCACAGAUGCCACCCUUUAAUUUAUUAUUCAGUAAGUAAUAAAGUACAUUUAUAAAUAUACGUGUGUAUUUCAGGAAUUGUUUAAAAGCAGUUAUUUUAUUAUGGACGUGCAUCAUAGUUUUCCAUGCAUCGGUGACCGCCAUUGUGGUUAAAGAUUACAAUAUAAGUGCAAUAUCAAUUAAUUCUAUUGGAGGUUUAUUUAAAUCUGUUGAUGUAUACUUUAGUCGUAUACGUAAUAAAGAGAACCAGCAUAUAUUUGAUAAUUACUACAAGACUCCAGAAGCUACUUAUGGACCAGAAGAACAUAUGAUUGGAUAUGUUGAUAAAAAGACGAUAAUUGAUUUGGAAAUAGAAUAUCCAUCUGAGGAAUAUGCAGGUCUAAACAGAACAUUACUGGAGUUAACAGAAAAGCUAUUACAAUUCAAUCCAUCACAAAAAGAAAUGUCUACGAAACUAAUAGAAGAAUAGGUAUUCAUUACUUCCAACAUUUUUAAAUAAUUAUUUACAUUAACAUACAAUUAUUAUGAUCAGUUGUAAACUUCUGUAUUGCUAAAUUAUAUAAUAUUUGUUUUGGGUUAUUUCAAAAGUUGAAGUUACAUCAUUUCUCUUUUAAGAGAUUAUUUUUUAUUAUAUUGACAAUCACACAAUAGUUUUUCACGUUUUACUUCUUCGAUGUGCAAUAACUUUAAAAAAUUUACAAUGAUGAGUUUAUUUAGUUUGUGUAUGUAAAAAUGUACCUACAUUAACUUUAAGGAAAAUCAAUAAUUUUGUUUAACAAGUCAGUUUUCUACAAUUGUUGAGGUGUGCAUAUUUGAGCGUUUUUUUGUCUUAGAAUUUUCUAGAAAUGCUAUAUGAUUUUAAUUUGUUUGAUAC
Long non-coding RNA from Acyrthosiphon pisum (pea aphid), 892 nucleotides. RefSeq lists it as uncharacterized. NCBI's taxonomy places the organism in Eukaryota, Metazoa, Arthropoda, Insecta, Hemiptera, Aphididae. The record is from RefSeq and is a predicted model, not a curated record. The transcript has 3 exons.